This 610-nucleotide ribosomal RNA is filed under the name uncultured Alphaproteobacteria bacterium. Its description in RNAcentral is "bacterial SSU rRNA". It matches the Rfam family "Bacterial small subunit ribosomal RNA", at positions 8 to 665 of the family's 1533-position model. The record is from RNAcentral. Lineage: Bacteria; Pseudomonadati; Pseudomonadota; Alphaproteobacteria.
AGAGUUUGAUCAUGGCUCAGAACGAACGCUGGCGGCAGGCCUAACACAUGCAAGUCGAACGAAGCCUUCGGGUUUAGUGGCGGACGGGUGAGUAACGCGUGGGAACGUGCCCUUCUCUACGGAAUAGUCCUGGGAAACUGGGUUUAAUACCGUAUACGCCCUUCGGGGGAAAGAAUUUCGGGGAAGGAUCGGCCCGCGUUGGAUUAGGUAGUUGGUGGGGUAAUGGCCCACCAAGCCGACGAUCCAUAGCUGGUUUGAGAGGAUGAUCAGCCACACUGGGACUGAGACACGGCCCAGACUCCUACGGGAGGCAGCAGUGGGGAAUCUUAGACAAUGGGGGCAACCCUGAUCUAGCCAUGCCGCGUGAGUGACGAAGGCCCUAGGGUCGUAAAGCUCUUUCGCCAGGGAUGAUAAUGACAGUACCUGGUAAAGAAACCCCGGCUAACUCCGUGCCAGCAGCCGCGGUAAUACGGAGGGGGUUAGCGUUGUUCGGAAUUACUGGGCGUAAAGCGCGCGUAGGCGGACUAUUAAGUCAGAGGUGAAAUCCCGGGGCUCAACCCCGGAACUGCCUUUGAUACUGGUAGUCUUGAGUUCGAGAGAGGUGAGUGGA